This 201-nucleotide unclassified non-coding RNA is filed under the name Hevea brasiliensis (rubber tree). The record is from RNAcentral. Lineage: Eukaryota; Viridiplantae; Streptophyta; Magnoliopsida; Malpighiales; Euphorbiaceae.
CGGAGAUGGUGAAGGAGGUGGUAGGAUUUGAGGGGGAGCUUGUUUGGGAUGCGACGAAGCCGGAUGGGACACCGCGGAAGCUUAUGGAUAACUCGAAGCUGGCGGCGUUGGGAUGGACCCCGAAGAUUGCUCUGCGGGAGGGGCUGGUUGAGACCUACAAGUGGUAUGUGGAGAAUGUUGUUAAGCAGCGGUGAAUCGGCG